Molecule: unclassified non-coding RNA, 2463 nt
Filed under: Homarus americanus (American lobster)
Lineage: Eukaryota; Metazoa; Arthropoda; Malacostraca; Decapoda; Nephropidae
Description: mOB-like protein phocein, transcript variant X2
Source: RNAcentral
UCAUUUAUUAACGUAGGGACGACAAUAAAAAACAUUUCUCUAUUGACAUACGAAGAAUAGAACACAGGCAUAUAUCAGUUGAGAUGAAGAUGGCGGACCAAACUGUCGUUUUGCGGAGGAAUCGGCCAGGGACUAAAGCCGAGAAUUUUUAUCGGUGGUGUGAUGAAGCUUAUGAGGAGAUGGACUCCACUCUAGUAGUUCAACAGUACAUUCAACAAACCAUCCGUCUCGACCACAAUAAUAUUGACACCAUUCUUAAUGCGCCGGAGACCCAAGAUGAGGGAGUUUGGAAAUAUGAACACCUUAGGCAAUUUUGUAUGGAGCUGAAUGGCUUAGCUGUCCGAUUACAAGGAGAAUGUCAGCCAGCUACUUGUACACAGAUGACAGCAACAGAACAGUGGAUAUUUUUAUGUGCGGCCCACAAAACCCCAAAGGAAUGCCCAGCCAUUGAUUACACACGACACACACUCGACGGAGCUGCAUGCCUUCUUAAUUCCAACAAGUACUUUCCUAGCAGAGUGAGCAUCAAGGAGUCAUCUGUGGCCAAGUUAGGGUCAGUGUGUCGGCGGGUUUACAGGAUAUUCUCUCAUGCUUACUUCCACCACAGACAAAUCUUUGACGAAUUUGAGACGGAAACUACUUUAUGUCGACGGUUCACAGUUUUCGUGACUAAAUAUAAUUUGAUGUCUCGAGACAAUCUUAUCGUUCCGAUCUUGGAGGAUGAAGGUGCUGGACAGGGGGAAUCUGAAGCUUAGAGAAAAACCAAGAAAACAGAUUACUGUACUGCCAUUUAUGAACAGUAACCAGUGGGCACUUGUGGAUUUGGCCAUACCCAUCUUCAACACCUUGAUAUUAGUUACUGUAAUAGAACCAGCUGUCAUGGCAGAUUUGUUUGUAUAUUUGUUAAGACCUGGCUAGUCAAGUUCUUAAUGUGUUAAUCUGAUGUUAAAUCUACAUCUUGCAGAAAGUUACCUUAGCUGGUACUGAAAUUGUAAAGAUUAUCAUCAUAUUAUAUUAACAAAAUUAAAGUAGAUUAAUGUCAAUACUGCAAUAAUGGAGUAGGUGUUAGGUAUUCAUGUGCAUACCUAUUGGAUUUUUUUUCAGUUAUAAGGAGAUUAGAUUAGAUUGAUGAAAGAGCAAUUGUAGAUCUAUAUAUUUUUUAAUUAAACAAGUUCUCCAUUAUCAAGUAUAGGUACUGUACUUUAUUAGUUUCUUUCCAUAGUACUGUAUACAGUAUAAACUAUUCCUUCAGAAUAUGAGUGUUCUUUGAGAAAGAAAUUUUUAUCAAAGCAUGUGCAGGAAAGAGUAACUAAGUGGUAAAUGUUUACUCUAUAGUUGUAGUAUAGAAAAAUAUUUACAGUACAGUAAUUGUAAAAAUGGAGUUUUUUAAAAAGGGAACGGUGGAUUUUUCAACAUUAUCUGCUGCAGAGAAGGCACAAAGUAGCCAUAUGGCAAAUAAUGAAUAAAACUAGAAGCCAGAUUCCUUGGUAAGUAGUUGAUAACUACAGUACAGUGUAUUUUAGUCCUUAUUUUUGUGAUUAUUAUUGGAAGAAUUCUCAUGAAUGAUAAACAGUCAAUAUUAAAUAUCUAGUCCAAUGAUGUCAUUAUCAUAAAAAUUUUUUCAACUACAGUGUAUGUAAUUCUGUAAAUAUAAUUUGUGAGUUUAAUCUUGAUUGGUAUGUCAAAUGUUUGUAGAACUGUCGUUGUAGUUUUCUCUGGAGAACAUUGUGACGUGACUAUAUUUCCACCGAGUCAUUAAAUAUGAGGAAAUAAUGAAGACGAGAUACGUACUCAUAUUUAAUGUUGUUUAACCAAGUAGUAUAGAGAUCUAUCUGUGCUGUCUUAAAACAAAUGUAAACCAAAACAGAAAAAAAUAAAUAAAAAAUCAUGCUCAAAUAUUACUUCUAUUUCUUGAACUUGUGUUUGUCGUGCCUUUCUCUAUAACAAACCAACACUAAUAGCUACAUGUUCAGGUACUUGCUGUGCUCUAAUAUAAUUGUUGUUAUCUAGUUAUCUGUAAACUUAUUCAUAGAACAUGAUGGGUGACUGGACUGAAUGGGAUGGCCCCAGGCUAACAUAAUGAUUAGAACUGUGUCCUUGUCUAAGGAGGCCAAGACUUAAUGAUCCUCAGUCCUUCGGAGAAUUAAUGUAAUCUGAAUGGUUAAAAUUAGUUUGGGUUUCAUUUUACCAGAAAAUCAUGUGAUGUAUUCCACAUCUACUGGACAUGUAACAGCUACAUUGAUGUGGUAAUUAUAAAAUUCACUUUUUAAAUUCCUGUCUUUAUCAAAUGGUGAAUGUGAGUUCAUUACCCCCUUGUUUUGGAGGAUUUUAUCAGGAAACUGAUAAACAAAGAGUGUGGUAGAAAUUAUAAACAAUUUAAUUCCAUUGUUUUGAAUCUCAUAGCGAGCCUCGAUUCAUGUAAAUAUCUCGGUUAUCAUUAUUUAUUAUAAUUAAUAGUACAAA